UGGAUUUAAUUCAAUGAUAAUUUCAAAACCCCAAACAAGGAGUGGAUAAAGGCUUACAGACAGGUGCAACAAGUAAGUCCUAUUUUGCAACCCAGAACUCAUUGUUCAGCUUGAGUUUUGAUACACAUAAGCAGGAAUAUU
Molecule: small nucleolar RNA, 141 nt
Organism: Urocitellus parryii (Arctic ground squirrel)
Lineage: Eukaryota; Metazoa; Chordata; Mammalia; Rodentia; Sciuridae
Source: Ensembl